GGUGUAGCUCAGUGGUAGAGUGCUUGCCUAGCACAUGUGUGGCACUGGGUUCAAUCCUCAGCACAACA
This 68-nucleotide transfer RNA is filed under the name Marmota monax (woodchuck). RNAcentral describes it as "tRNA.Ala". Lineage: Eukaryota; Metazoa; Chordata; Mammalia; Rodentia; Sciuridae. The record is from RNAcentral.